CCUCCAUGGUGGAAGGCAUAGUGGAAGAGGAGGGCUGGAGAUAACAAGGACUCACAGGGGUGUGGUCCCUGGAUCCCAGCCCCCUCAUGGUAGGCGUUUGGUCUAUGCACAACUGUUUAAAGUAUGUUUUCCAUGAUGCCUACCAUGCCCUCCCCUAUCUGAAACCUACUCAAGAAGAAAGGGGCGCUUGCUGCUGCUUGCUUUGUAAGGCACACCUCACCAUUACCAGAUCCCCAUCCUCACCAGAGACCAAGGAAACGGGAAGCACUCAAUUUUGGAUGUGAGCCUUCAGGCUAUGAACAAAAUAAGCUCCCUGCAUGAGCAGCCUGUCGGGGGCACUUCACAACAGUAAUCCCAUGACGACUACUCUAGCCAGCCAGCGGUGCAGAGCCGGACCAUUGCUGGGCCCUGGGGACAGCUGAACCAGUCCCUCUCCUUCUGAAGACACCACCAUCCAUUCCAGGACAGAGAACACGGAUGGACACCCACACACCACAUAUAUACAUGGAUUAUGCCUGUGUGCUGCCAUGUUUCCUACCGGGCUGUUAAUGGACUGAACCUCUGAGACUGUAAGCCAACCUCAAUUAAAUGUUUGCCUUUAUA
This is a non-coding RNA of Rattus norvegicus (Norway rat), 603 nucleotides long. NCBI's taxonomy places the organism in Eukaryota, Metazoa, Chordata, Mammalia, Rodentia, Muridae. The record is from RefSeq and is a predicted model, not a curated record.